Molecule: ribosomal RNA, 474 nt
Filed under: uncultured bacterium
Lineage: Bacteria
Description: partial 16S ribosomal RNA
Rfam family: Bacterial small subunit ribosomal RNA
Source: RNAcentral
GAUGAACGCUAGCGGCAGGCCUAACACAUGCAAGUCGAGGGAGGAGCUUUCGGGCUUCGACCGGCGUACGGGUGCGUAACGCGUAUACAAUCUGCCUUUCACAUAGGGAUAGCCCGAAGAAAUUUGGAUUAAUACCUAAUGGUAUAUAGAGGUGGCAUCACCUUUAUAUUAAAGCUGAGGCGGUGAAAGAUGGGUAUGCGUUCUAUUAGCUAGUUGGAGAGGUAACGGCUCCCCAAGGCGACGAUAGAUAGGGGUUCUGAGAGGGAUAUCCCCCACACUGGUACUGAGAUACGGACCAGACUCCUACGGGAGGCAGCAGUGAGGAAUAUUGGACAAUGGUCGGAAGACUGAUCCAGCCAUGCCGCGUGCAGGAAGACGGCCUUAUGGGUUGUAAACUGCUUUUGCAGGGGAAGAAUAAGGACUACGCGUAGUUUGAUGACGGUACUCUGCGAAUAAGCAUCGGCUAACUCCGUG